RNAcentral lists this ribosomal RNA (579 nucleotides) under Bacillus sp. (in: firmicutes). RNAcentral's name for it is "bacterial SSU rRNA". It matches the Rfam family "Bacterial small subunit ribosomal RNA", at positions 146 to 710 of the family's 1533-position model. Lineage: Bacteria; Bacillati; Bacillota; Bacilli; Caryophanales; Bacillaceae. The record is from RNAcentral.
ACUCCGGGAAACCGGGGCUAAUACCGGAUGGUUGUCUGAACCGCAUGGUUCAGACAUAAAAGGUGGCUUCGGCUACCACUUACAGAUGGACCCGCGGCGCAUUAGCUAGUUGGUGAGGUAACGGCUCACCAAGGCGACGAUGCGUAGCCGACCUGAGAGGGUGAUCGGCCACACUGGGACUGAGACACGGCCCAGACUCCUACGGGAGGCAGCAGUAGGGAAUCUUCCGCAAUGGACGAAAGUCUGACGGAGCAACGCCGCGUGAGUGAUGAAGGUUUUCGGAUCGUAAAGCUCUGUUGUUAGGGAAGAACAAGUGCCGUUCAAAUAGGGCGGCACCUUGACGGUACCUAACCAGAAAGCCACGGCUAACUACGUGCCAGCAGCCGCGGUAAUACGUAGGUGGCAAGCGUUGUCCGGAAUUAUUGGGCGUAAAGGGCUCGCAGGCGGUUUCUUAAGUCUGAUGUGAAAGCCCCCGGCUCAACCGGGGAGGGUCAUUGGAAACUGGGGAACUUGAGUGCAGAAGAGGAGAGUGGAAUUCCACGUGUAGCGGUGAAAUGCGUAGAGAUGUGGAGGAACACC